Long non-coding RNA from Meriones unguiculatus (Mongolian gerbil), 352 nucleotides. RefSeq lists it as uncharacterized. The transcript has 3 exons. The record is from RefSeq and is a predicted model, not a curated record. NCBI's taxonomy places the organism in Eukaryota, Metazoa, Chordata, Mammalia, Rodentia, Muridae.
CUUGGCUUUGGUGCGACUGUGCGUUUAAGUAAACAGAGUUCUUUGUUGUUCUGCACGCUAACGGGCAUAUGCACACUACAGGAAUCCGGACCUUGUCAACACUACAGGACCAUAACAUGUCUGUCUUAAUUAGACCUGAUUAGUUCUGGGCCCAGCUCACAUUGUGGACCCUGACUCUGCUCUAAGCUGCUCAUCUGUUUGACAGCUGCUGGGAUGGAAGAACCAUAUUCAUCAUGUUGCAAGUACUUUCCUCAUGCUUCAUCAGAUCCUGAAAAUGAUCUUGACUUCCACCCUUGUGCUGCUUCAGACCAUGCCUACUCAGCUGAGCACUUUCCUGUUCCUUAUCUUGUCA